GAUGAACGCUGGCGGGUGAUAAUGCAUGCAAGUAGAACGCUGAAGCUUGGUGCUUGACGACGGAUGAGUUGCGAACGGGUGAGUAACGCGAGGUAACCUGCCUCUUAGCGGGGGAUACUAUUGGAAACGAUAGCUAUACGCAUAAAAGUUGACAUUGCAUGAUGUUGAUUUGAAAGAUGCAAUUGCAUCACUAAGAGAUGGACCUGCGUUGUAUUAGCUAGUUGGUGAAGUAACGGCUCACCAAGGCGACGAUCCAUAGCCGACCUGAGAGGGUGAUCGGCCACACUGGGACUGAGACACGGCCCAGACUCCUACGGGAGGCAGCAGUAGGGAAUCUUCGGCAAUGGGGGCAACCCUGACCGAGCAACGCCGCGUGAGUGAAGAAGUUUUCGGAUCGUAAAGCUCUGUUGUAGAGAAGAACGAGUGUGAGAGUGGAAGUUCACACUGUGAUGGUAACUUCCAGAAAGGGACGGCUAACUACGUGCCAGCAGCCGCGGAAUACGUAGGUCCCGAGCGUUUUCGGAUUUAUGGGCGUAAAGGAGCGCGGGGGGGAGAUGGGCUGAAGUUAAAGGUGCCCCACCAUAGUACACUUUGAUUUGGUACGGAGGGGGAGGGAAAGGAAAUCAUGGUGGUUUAAUAUUUGAUAAGGAGAAGCAGGUGGACUGUUCCUUUUUCUUAGUUGGGGGGGAAGAAAGAGGUAAAAAGUUCCGCCGAUCCUACACUUAAUUUUUUUGUCCUCUGGGAGGCGGGGGGAGCUUGCCUUGGGGGGGGGGGACAUUAAACAUGACAAACAAAAAAAAGUGGGGGGGGGGAUGCAGUUUAUCGAGUGCCGGUGGCCUACCCUAUGCCAGUGGAAGAACUAUAUGUGCGUCAUGGAUUCGUAUGUAUUUUUCGCAAA
Molecule: ribosomal RNA, 898 nt
Filed under: uncultured Pseudomonas sp.
Lineage: Bacteria; Pseudomonadati; Pseudomonadota; Gammaproteobacteria; Pseudomonadales; Pseudomonadaceae
Description: partial 16S ribosomal RNA
Rfam family: Bacterial small subunit ribosomal RNA (bases 1-521)
Source: RNAcentral